UACGUAGGUGGCAAGCGUUGUCCGGAUUUACUGGGCGUAAAGAGCGCGCAGGCGGUCAGAUAAGUCGAAUGUGAAAGCCCCCGGCUUAACUGGGGAGGGUCAUUCGAUACUGUUCGACUCGAAGGCAGGAGAGGGAAGCGGAAUUCCCGGUGUAGUGGUGAAAUGCGUAGAUAUCGGGAGGAACACCAGUGGCGAAGGCGGCUUCCUGGCCUGUUCUUGACGCUGAGGUGCGAAAGCGUGGGGAGCGAACAGG
RNAcentral lists this ribosomal RNA (253 nucleotides) under uncultured bacterium. Its description in RNAcentral is "partial 16S ribosomal RNA". It matches the Rfam family "Bacterial small subunit ribosomal RNA", at positions 524 to 776 of the family's 1533-position model. The record is from RNAcentral.